This 72-nucleotide transfer RNA is filed under the name Loxodonta africana (African savanna elephant). It matches the Rfam family "tRNA". Rfam says of the family: Transfer RNA (tRNA) molecules are approximately 80 nucleotides in length. Lineage: Eukaryota; Metazoa; Chordata; Mammalia; Proboscidea; Elephantidae. The record is from Rfam by way of RNAcentral.
GCCCUGGUGGCGAAACGGUUAAGCCUUCGGCUACUAACCAAAAGGUUGGUGGCUCGAACCCACCCAGUGGCU